UACGAAGGGGGCUAGCGUUGCUCGGAAUUACUGGGCGUAAAGGGAGCGUAGGCGGACUGUUUAGUCAGAGGUGAAAGCCCAGGGCUCAACCUUGGAAUUGCCUUUGAUACCGGCAGUCUUGAGUACGGAAGAGGUAUGUGGAACUCCGAGUGUAGAGGUGAAAUUCGUAGAUAUUCGGAAGAACACCAGUGGCGAAGGCGACAUACUGGUCCGUUACUGACGCUGAGGCGCGAAAGCUAGGGGAGCAAACGGG
Molecule: ribosomal RNA, 253 nt
Filed under: uncultured bacterium
Lineage: Bacteria
Description: partial 16S ribosomal RNA
Rfam family: Bacterial small subunit ribosomal RNA
Source: RNAcentral